This 347-nucleotide ribosomal RNA is filed under the name uncultured Geobacillus sp. RNAcentral's name for it is "bacterial SSU rRNA". It matches the Rfam family "Bacterial small subunit ribosomal RNA", at positions 1034 to 1382 of the family's 1533-position model. Lineage: Bacteria; Bacillati; Bacillota; Bacilli; Caryophanales; Anoxybacillaceae. The record is from RNAcentral.
ACAGGUGGUGCGAUGGUUGUCGUCAGCUCGUGUCGUGAGAUGUUGGGUUAAGUCCCGCAACGAGCGCAACCCUCGCCUCUAGUUGCCAGCAUUCGGUUGGGCACUCUAGAGGGACUGCCGGCGACAAGUCGGAGGAAGUGGGGAUGACGUCAAAUCAUCAUGCCCCUUAUGACCUGGGCUACACACGUGCUACAAUGGGCGGUACAAAGGGCUGCGAACCCGCGAGGGGGAGCGAAUCCCAAAAAGCCGCUCUCAGUUCGGAUUGCAGGCUGCAACUCGCCUGCAUGAAGCCGGAAUCGCUAGUAAUCGCGGAUCAGCAUGCCGCGGUGAAUACGUUCCCGGGCCUU